Molecule: long non-coding RNA, 364 nt
Filed under: Ananas comosus (pineapple)
Lineage: Eukaryota; Viridiplantae; Streptophyta; Magnoliopsida; Poales; Bromeliaceae
Description: long non-coding RNA (ACOM_LNC025777)
Source: RNAcentral
UAUUUUCUAUUUAUAACUAUUCACUAUUCUUCUUAUUUCAUCUUAUCUAUCCAAAUGCUAUUUUGUUUAUUCUUGAGAAUAACUUAAUUUUCAUCCAAACGCAAAAUUAGUUUAGUUCUUGAUUAUAUAUGAAAUUGUACGUAUCCCUGAAAUAAGCAGUUCUUACUUAUACUCAAACCAAACAAAGCCCAAAAGUAUAAAGUUCAUAUAUAGUGAAGAAGAAGGAUAACACACAUUUCUACAGCAAAAACGGUGUAUAGAAACACUUUUAAAUAUCGGUACUGGUCCAAAAAAGUGCUGCUGACUAAAUUACCGACACUUUUUAAAAAUAUUGCUAUAUAUGGGGUCGCUAUAUGUGGGGCCG